CUGCACUGGAGGUUAGGAUGCUGAAUACAUACCAUUCUGCAGAAAAAUACAGAGCAGCAACAGCCAUCUUUUAAUAUUAUUUACCUCUCCUUGAAGUGAACAGGAUGGCAAAGAUACAAGGUGAUGUGUCUCUUCACAAGAACAGGGCUCCCACUAUGAAGGUUAAUCACAAAAAAGUGACUGGACAGCAUCCAAACUAAGUGAUUACUAGCAAAGAGUGGCUCAUGACAGAGCCUGGAGAAAGAGGUGUGGAGUAGAAUUCUGCUGUGUGGGGCCCUGAAUGUUUGUUUCUGCUCCCGACUCCAAGUGAUUACUAGAAAUAGCUCUCAUGCCAGAGGUAUGAGCCUAAAGUGGGGAACGCUGCAAAUGAAGAUUUGAAAAGAAAAAAAGAAAACUUUCUCCAGUACCAUGUAUUUGAUCCAGUCCUGCCCUCUAGUAGCAUAACUGCUUUUACUUCAUCACCAAUCAUCAUCAUCAUCAUCAUCAUCUUUUAUUACAGUCAUAGACCAUGCUUUUACUUUAAAAUAUAUGUGCGGAACUGAAUUAUGGUUAUUCCGUCCUAGUUUGAUCCUGAUUGAGGAAUAUGUUCUCUUAAGACAUAUCAUCAACAUGACUGUGGUUUGGAAGCUGCGAGUCACCUCAAGUCUGCAUUUACUAAGAAAACACAAGCUUUUAAAAUAAUGCAGCCCUUUCCCUCCUCUGAAUAAGAAAAGAAAGACAGACAGAUCCCUGAAGUAUCAUCAUAUACAAUUUCCUCUAGCGGGGAUGAUUUGUGUGAAAAUGGAUCUCAAGUGACAUUUAUUAGUCACAUUGGUUUAUACACUGUUCUUCUAACACACCUCACAGUUCUGAAAAUAGACAUAGCUUGUAUAUAUUACCAUAGAAAUGUGUUAAACUCCACAGCUGAACAGAGAAGUAACUUGUUUUAAGCAACUUACAGUUUUUUCAACUAAUACAAUUAUGCAGGUAACUGAUUAGUCAAAUAGUAAUUUCACAUUAUCUGUGUUAUGCCAAACCAAUUUGAACAGUUCUCUCUGCCCAUCUUUUAAAAAAAAAAAUCCUUGGCUUAAUACAUGCAUAUAUUUGAAUAGUUUGAAUUACAAAAUUUACUUCUAUUCAUGCCUUAUACACUGUACAGUGAAUUUUUCUCAUGUUGUGUGAGGAGACAGCACUCUCCCCAGCUGCCUUCACAUGAUGCUGGCACAUACAUGGCCUCCGCACAUGUGCGGUGGCCAUUUGCAUGGUGAGCAUGGUUGUUGACCAUGCAAAUGGCCUCUGUGCAUGUGUGGAGGCUGUGCAUAUGUAUGUGUCAUGUGAGGACAGCUGGUGAGGGUGCCACCAGCAUAUGAUGAUAGCUGGGGGCAUGCCAGUGAUACAGGAAGGGGUGGUCAGCAGCAGAGGAGCAGGUAUGCACCUGCUCUCUUGCAUUUUAAAGGUGCUGGUGAUGUGCUGCAAACCAUGCUUUGAAUUGCGAUUUGUGCUCAU
This is a long non-coding RNA of Hemicordylus capensis (graceful crag lizard), 1485 nucleotides long. RefSeq lists it as uncharacterized. The record is from RefSeq and is a predicted model, not a curated record. The transcript has 3 exons. Lineage: Eukaryota; Metazoa; Chordata; Lepidosauria; Squamata; Cordylidae.